This 442-nucleotide ribosomal RNA is filed under the name uncultured bacterium. RNAcentral describes it as "partial 16S ribosomal RNA". It matches the Rfam family "Bacterial small subunit ribosomal RNA", at positions 338 to 795 of the family's 1533-position model. The record is from RNAcentral.
CCUACGGGUGGCAGCAGUGGGGAAUAUUGGGCAAUGGGCGCAAGCCUGGCCCAGCAACGCCGCGUGAAGGAAGAAGGCUUUCGGGGUGUAAACUUCUUUUGUCAGGGAAGAGUAGAAGACGGUACCUGACGAAUAAGCUACGGCUAACUACGUGCCAGCAGCUGCGGUAAUACGUAGGUGGCAAGCGUUGUCCGGAUUUACUGGGUGUAAAGGGCGUGUAGCCGGGUUGACAAGUCAGAUGUGAAAUCCUGCGGCUUAACCGUAGAACUGCAUUUGAUACUGUCGAUCUUGAGUACUGGAGAGGUAGACGGAAUUCCUAGUGUAGCGGUGAAAUGCGUAGAUAUUAGGAGGAACACCAGUGGCGAAGGCGGUCUGCUGGACAGCAACUGACGGUGAGGCGCGAAAGCGUGGGGAGCAAACAGGAUUAGAUACCCGGGUAGUC